AACACCUACAAGUAGUUAAGAUUCCUCAGUAUCCCUAUUUUAAAAAAUAAAACCAAACACCAAAAACACACAACAAGGCAACUGAUCAGUUAUGAUCCAUAUUCAUAAACAAAAAUACCUUGUGUCCUCUCUUUUUCAGUUCUGGCAGCAUCCGGUCCAAAAGUAGAAAUUUGCCUGAAUUCUUCACUAGAUCUUCAUCAACCUUAAAAAAGAGUAAAAAGGAGAAGUCAAGAUUUACAAUCUCUCAGAUGCAUCAACAUUCAGGACCUUGCUGAUGAGUGGAAUCGGAGGGAACGCAUACAUCAGGCUCCCUGACCAGGACAGGAGGAAGGCAUCGGAGAGGAAGUCCUUGCCCAGACCCGCUGAGAACAAAACCGAUGACAUUCCCGGUUUUGCCUGGUGGCAAACAGGCCCACAUGGGGAGUUCCCCACCUCUGGAAAAUCAUGCAGGCUACCUCUGGGUGGAAUGACCACUCGUAGUGAGAGGGUAAGUCUCUGCUGAGGUGAUCCACGAGCGUGUUCUUGACACCAGGGAGGUGACAUGCUUCCAAGUGGAUUUCAUGGCUGAUGCAGAAGUCCUAGAGAUGGAUUGCCUCUUGGCUGAGAGCCGACGAGAGCGCUCACCCUUGCCUGUUGAUGUAGAAAAUCAAGACUGUGUUGUCCAUCAGGACUCUCACCACGUUGCCCAACAGGUGAGGUAGGAACCAUCUGCAUGCCAAGUGGACCGCUCUGAGUUCUUUGAUGUUUAUGUGACACAUCCUCUCCUGUUGGGACCACAUACCCUGGGUGUGGAGAGUGCUGAGGUGCGCACCUCAGCCAAGGUGUCAGAAACUAACUCGAUGGAGUGAGGGGGGGUGUCGAAUGGAACUCCCUCUAGGACUGUCCUGCGAUCGAUCCACCAUCACAGCUAGGUAAGAUUGUUGGGGGUUGGUAAGGAUCUUUUCCAGGUGAUCCCUGGACUGGGAAUAGACCGUUGCCAGCCAUGUGGACCCCAAGACGCAGGCAAACCCUGGCCAUAGUCAGGGGGAAUGUGGAGACUUCCGCGAUGAGGUCUGCCAAUGUCUGGAACCUUUCUAGUGGCAGAAAUGCUCUGGCACAGGUCGAGUCAAGCACCGCUCCAAUGAACUCUAUCCGCUGCACCGGAACUAGCAUAGACUUUUUGUCAUUCACCAGUAGUCCCAGGGAGAGGCACGUGGCUUGCAGCGCUGCAACAUCCUUUUGGACCUGAGACCUGGAGCUGCCUUUGACUAGCCAGUCGUUAAGGUACAGGUAGAUCUGGAUACCCCGAUGCCUGAGGUAAGCAGCCACCACCGAUAUGCACUUGGUAAACACCCUCAGUGCUGUUGCCAGGCCAAACAGGAGGACUGCAAACUGGUACUGGUCAGGUCCCCACCAUAAAUUGGAGGAAGCGUCUGUGUCCUUGAAAGAUCGCUAUGUGGAAGUAUGUGUCCUUCAAGUCGAAGGCGGCAUACCAGUCUCCCAGAUCCAGGGAAGGGAUGAUAGAGGCCAGGGAGACCACAUGGAGCCUCAGCUUCUUUAGGUACUUCUUGAGGUCUCGCAGGUCUAGGAUGGGCCAUAGACCGCUCUUGGCCUUUUGGAUUAAAAAGUACUGGGCACAGAACUCCUUGUUUCUGUACUCGAGAGGAAUCUCCUCCACCACACCCAGCUGCAGUAACCCUUUUAUCUCCUGCGCAAGGAGACUCUCGUAAGGGUCUCUGAAGAGGGACAGGGAAAGUGGGUGAAAAAGGGGGGCAGAAAGAAACUGGAGGGUAUAACCCUGUGCCAGUGUUGAGGACCUAGCGAUCUGAAGUUAUAGCGGUCCAUGCAGGAAGGAAAAAGGAAAGGUGGUUGGAAAAAACUGGGGAAGAUGGAUCCAGGGAAUAGUCUGGUAGUUCACCCUUGAGUGCACCCUCAAACUGAUCAGUUGGCCCCCUGCUUGUUUCAGGUUGAGCUCGACUGCGCAGAGGGUGGAAGCGGGUGGCUCGGAUGACAUUUGUAGCCCUGGGCUUUCUUGUGAGGCAGGUCCUGCUGAGGCAGACUCGCCGGCCCUGAGGCUGUUGUGGUUUGAACCACGUAUGCGCCAGGCCUGGGAUGUAAAGGCCCAGAGUUUUGAGGGUGGUAUGGUAGUCCUUUAAACCAUGCAGCUUGCUGUCUGUUUGCUUUGCCAAUAGGGCCCAGCUGUUGAAGGGAAGGUCCUGCAUAGACUGCUGAGCCUUGGCAGACAAGCUAGAGAGGAGCAACCAGGAGGCUUGCCACAUGGAGAUGGCGGAGCCAUGGUGUGAGCAGCAGGAUCUGCUGCAUCUGACGCUGCCUGGAGGGCCGCCCUGGCCGCGGUCAUACCUUCGUCAAUAACCGCUUGGAAUUCCAUCCUGGACCCCUCAGGAAGCAAACACUCGAACUUGGCCAUGGCUUGCUACAUGUUAAAGUCAUAUCGACCAAGGAGAGCCUGGUGUUUGGCCACUCUUAACUGAAGGCUGGAAGAUGAAUAAACUUUACGUUCAAA
Molecule: long non-coding RNA, 2503 nt
Organism: Chelonia mydas (Green sea turtle)
Lineage: Eukaryota; Metazoa; Chordata; Testudines; Cheloniidae
Exons: 2
Source: RefSeq, a predicted model, not a curated record